This 440-nucleotide ribosomal RNA is filed under the name uncultured bacterium. RNAcentral's name for it is "partial 16S ribosomal RNA". It matches the Rfam family "Bacterial small subunit ribosomal RNA", at positions 338 to 795 of the family's 1533-position model. The record is from RNAcentral.
CCUACGGGAGGCAGCAGUGGGGGAUAUUGCACAAUGGGGGGAACCCUGAUGCAGCGACGCCGCGUGGGUGAAGAAGCGCCUCGGCGCGUAAAGCCCUGUCAGCAGGGAAGAAAAUGACGGUACCUGAAGAAGAAGCCCCGGCUAAAUACGUGCCAGCAGCCGCGGGAAUACGGAGGGGGCAAGCGUUAUCCGGAUUUACUGGGUGUAAAGGGGGCGCAGACGGGGUUGCAAGCCAGGAGUGAAAGCCCGGGGCCCAACCGCGGGACUGCUCUUGGAACUGCGUGGCUGGAGUGCAGGAGGGGCAGGCGGAAUUCCUGGUGUAGCGGUGAAAUGCGUAGAUAUCAGGAGGAACACCGGUGGCGAAGGCGGCCUGCUGGACUGCAACUGACGUUGAGGCCCGAAAGCGUGGGGAGCAAACAGGAUUAGAUACCCCAGUAGUC